GAUAGCUUGCUAUCAAUGCUGACGAGCGGCGGACGGGUGAGUAAUGCCUGGGAAUAUGCCCUGAUGUGGGGGAUAACUAUUGGAAACGAUAGCUAAUACCGCAUAAUCUCUUCGGAGCAAAGAGGGGGACCUUCGGGCCUCUCGCGUCAGGAUUAGCCCAGGUGGGAUUAGCUUGUUGGUGGGGUAAUGGCUCACCAAGGCAACGAUCCCUAGCUGGUCUGAGAGGAUGAUCAGCCACACUGGAACUGAGACACGGUCCAGACUCCUACGGGAGGCAGCAGUGGGGAAUAUUGCACAAUGGGGGAAACCCUGAUGCAGCCAUGCCGCGUGUAUGAAGAAGGCCUUCGGGUUGUAAAGUACUUUCAGUUGUGAGGAAGGCGUUGAUGUUAAUAGCUUCAGCGUUUGACGUUAGCAACAGAAGAAGCACCGGCUAACUCCGUGCCAGCAGCCGCGGUAAUACGGAGGGUGCGAGCGUUAAUCGGAAUUACUGGGCGUAAAGCGCAUGCAGGUGGUCUGUUAAGCAAGAUGUGAAAGCCCGGGGCUCAACCUCGGAACAGCAUUUUGAACUGGCAGACUAGAGUACUGU
RNAcentral lists this ribosomal RNA (586 nucleotides) under bacterium 4878K2-B55. Its description in RNAcentral is "bacterial SSU rRNA". It matches the Rfam family "Bacterial small subunit ribosomal RNA", at positions 74 to 652 of the family's 1533-position model. The record is from RNAcentral.